RNAcentral lists this ribosomal RNA (435 nucleotides) under Fusarium sp. ca_gw_10957c. RNAcentral's name for it is "eukaryotic LSU rRNA". The stretch from base 69 to 222 matches the Rfam family "5.8S ribosomal RNA". Lineage: Eukaryota; Fungi; Ascomycota; Sordariomycetes; Hypocreales; Nectriaceae. The record is from RNAcentral.
GGCCCGCCAGAGGACCCCUAAACUCUGUUUCUAUAUGUAACUUCUGAGUAAAACCAUAAAUAAAUCAAAACUUUCAACAACGGAUCUCUUGGUUCUGGCAUCGAUGAAGAACGCAGCAAAAUGCGAUAAGUAAUGUGAAUUGCAGAAUUCAGUGAAUCAUCGAAUCUUUGAACGCACAUUGCGCCCGCCAGUAUUCUGGCGGGCAUGCCUGUUCGAGCGUCAUUUCAACCCUCAAGCACAGCUUGGUGUUGGGACUCGCGUUAAUUCGCGUUCCUCAAAUUGAUUGGCGGUCACGUCGAGCUUCCAUAGUGUAUUUUGUAAAACCCUCGUUACUGGUAAUCGUCGCGGCCACGCCGUUAAACCCCAACUUCUGAAUGUUGACCUCGGAUCAGGUAGGAAUACCCGCUGAACUUAAGCAUAUCAAUAAGCGGAGGA